AACGAACGCUGGCGGCGUGCCUAACACAUGCAAGUCGAGCGCGAAUGGAGCAAUCCUAGUAGAGCGGCGCACGGGUGCGUAACACGUGGGUAAUCUGCCUCAAAGCCCGGGAUAACCUGCCGAAAGGCAAGCUAAUACCGGAUAAGCCUACGGACUCUUCGGGGUCUGAAGGAAAAGGUGGCCUCUGUAUACAAGCUAUCACUUUGAGAUGAGCCCGCGGCCCAUCAGCUCGUU
RNAcentral lists this ribosomal RNA (234 nucleotides) under uncultured bacterium. Its description in RNAcentral is "partial 16S ribosomal RNA". It matches the Rfam family "Bacterial small subunit ribosomal RNA", at positions 29 to 250 of the family's 1533-position model. The record is from RNAcentral.